GACGAACGCUGGCGGCGUGCUUAACACAUGCAAGUCGAACGGAAAGGCCCUGCUUUUGUGGGGUGCUCGAGUGGCGAACGGGUGAGUAACACGUGAGUAACCUGCCCUUGACUUUGGGAUAACUUCAGGAAACUGGGGCUAAUACCGGAUAGGAGCUCCUGCUGCAUGGUGGGGGUUGGAAAGUUUCGGCGGUUGGGGAUGGACUCGCGGCUUAUCAGCUUGUUGGUUGGGUAGUGGCUUACCAAGGCUUUGACGGGUAGCCGGCCUGAGAGGGUGACCGGCCACAAUGGGACUGAGAUACGGCCCAGACUCCUACGGGAGGCAGCAGUGGGGAAUAUUGCACAAUGGGCGGAAGCCGGAUGCAGCAACGCCGCGUGCGGGAUGACGGCCUUCGGGUUGUAAACCGCUUUCGCCUGUGACGAAGCGUGAGUGACGGUAAUGGGUAAAGAAGCACCGGCUAACUACGUG
RNAcentral lists this ribosomal RNA (468 nucleotides) under uncultured bacterium. Its description in RNAcentral is "partial 16S ribosomal RNA". It matches the Rfam family "Bacterial small subunit ribosomal RNA", at positions 28 to 507 of the family's 1533-position model. The record is from RNAcentral.